GACGAACGCUGGCGGCGUGCUUAACACAUGCAAGUCGAACGGUGAAGCGCCUUCCUUUUUGGUGGGUGUGGAUGAGUGGCGAACGGGUGAGUAACACGUGAGUAACCUGCCCCCUUCUUCUGGAUAACCGCAUGAAAGUGUGGCUAAUACGGGAUAUUCUGGGUCUGUCGCAUGAUGGGUCUGGGAAAGAUAUUGUUUCGGUGGGGGAUGGGCUCGCGGCCUAUCAGCUUGUUGGUGGGGUGAUGGCCUACCAAGGCGGUGACGGGUAGCCGGCCUGAGAGGGUGGACGGUCACACUGGGACUGAGACACGGCCCAGACUCCUACGGGAGGCAGCAGUGGGGAAUAUUGCACAAUAGGCGCAAGCCUGAUGCAGCGACGCCGCGUGAGGGAUGGAGGCCUUCGGGUUGUGAACCUCUUUCGCCAGUGAAGCAGGCCUGCCUCGUUUGUGGGUGGGUUGACGGUAGCUGGAUAAGAGGCGCCGGCUAACUACGUG
This 494-nucleotide ribosomal RNA is filed under the name uncultured bacterium. RNAcentral's name for it is "partial 16S ribosomal RNA". It matches the Rfam family "Bacterial small subunit ribosomal RNA", at positions 28 to 507 of the family's 1533-position model. The record is from RNAcentral.